AUACUUACCUGGCAGGGGAGAUCCCAUGAUCCCGAAGGUGGUUUUCCCAGGGUGAGGCUCAUCCAUUGCACUGCGGGUGUGCUGACCCCUGCGAUUUCCCCAAAUGCGGGAAACUCGACUGCAUAAUUUGUGGUAGAAACCACCAUGGUCGGGGACCUCCUGGACU
Small nuclear RNA from Pelodiscus sinensis (Chinese soft-shelled turtle), 166 nucleotides. Its record names the gene U1. It matches the Rfam family "U1 spliceosomal RNA". From Rfam's summary of the family: U1 is a small nuclear RNA (snRNA) component of the spliceosome (involved in pre-mRNA splicing). Lineage: Eukaryota; Metazoa; Chordata; Testudines; Trionychidae. The record is from Ensembl.